ACUCCUACGGGAGGCAGCAGUGGGGAAUAUUGCACAAUGGGCGCAAGCCUGAUGCAGCAACGCCGUGUGAGUGAAGAAGGUUUUCGGAUCGUAAAACUCUGUCCUAAGGGAAGAAACAAAUGACGGUACCUUAGGAGGAAGCCCCGGCUAACUACGUGCCAGCAGCCGCGGUAAUACGUAGGGGGCAAGCGUUAUCCGGAAUCACUGGGCGUAAAGGGUGCGUAGGCGGCUUAGCAAGCCAGGGGUGAAAGGCAUUGGCUCAACCAAUGUAAGCCUUUGGAACUGUUAAGCUUGAGUGCAGGAGAGGUAAGUGGAAUUCCUAGUGUAGAGGUGAAAUUCGUAGAUAUUAGGAGGAACACCAGUGGCGAAGGCGACUUACUGGACUGUAACUGACGCUGAUGCACGAAAGCGUGGGUAGCGAACAGGA
RNAcentral lists this ribosomal RNA (427 nucleotides) under uncultured bacterium. RNAcentral's name for it is "bacterial SSU rRNA". It matches the Rfam family "Bacterial small subunit ribosomal RNA", at positions 335 to 777 of the family's 1533-position model. The record is from RNAcentral.